AAGUCGUAACAAGGUUUCCGUAGGUGAACCUGCGGAAGGAUCAUUAAUGAGUUCAUGCCCUCACGGGUAGAUCUCCCACCCUUGAAUAUGUUACCUUUGUUGCUUUGGCAGGCCGCUUCGGCCACUGGCUCCGGCUAGUGAGUGUCUGCCAGAGGACCCUAAAACCUGUCUUACAGUAUCGUCUGAGUACUAUAUAAUAGUUAAAACUUUCAACAACGGAUCUCUUGGUUCUGGCAUCGAUGAAGAACGCAGCGAAAUGCGAUAAGUAAUGUGAAUUGCAGAAUUCAGUGAAUCAUCGAAUCUUUGAACGCGCAUUGCGCCCCUUGGUAUUCCGAGGGGCAUGCCUGUUCGAGCGUCAUCAUAACCUUCGAGCUCAGCUUGGUGUUGGGGCCUGUCGUCUAGACAGCUCUUAAAAUCAGUGGCGGUGCCUUUAGGCUCUAAGCGUAGUAAUAUCUCUCGCUAUAGAAGCCUAGAGGUUGCUUGCCAGCAACCCCUAACUUUUAAGUUUGACCUCGGAUCAGGUAGGGAUACCCGCUGAACUUAAGCAUAUCAAUAAGCGGAGGAAAAGAAACCAACAGGGAUUGCCUCAGUAACGGCGAGUGAAGCGGCAACAGCUCAAAUUUGAAAUCUGGCUCUUUUAGGGUCCGAGUUGUAAUUUGUAGAAGAUGCUUCGGGUGUGGCUCCAGUCUAAGUUCCUUGGAACAGGGCGUCAUAGAGGGUGAGAAUCCCGUAUGUGACUGGGUGCCUUCGCCUAUGUGAAGCUCUUUCGACGAGUCGAGUUGUUUGGGAAUGCAGCUCAAAAUGGGUGGUAAAUUUCAUCUAAAGCUAAAUAUUGGCCAGAGACCGAUAGCGCACAAGUAGAGUGAUCGAAAGAUGAAAAGCACUUUGGAAAGAGAGUUAAACAGUACGUGAAAUUGUUGAAAGGGAAGCGCUUGCAACCAGACUUGCGCGUAGUUGAUCAUCCGGUGUUCUCACCGGUGCACUCGAUUACGCUCAGGCUAGCAUCGGUUUCGGUGGUUGGAUAAAGGCCCUAGGAAUGUAGCUCCUCUCGGGGAGUGUUAUAGCCUAGGGUGCAAUGCAGCCUACUGGGACCGAGGACCGCGCUUCGGCUAGGAUGCUGGCGUAAUGGUUGUAAGCGACC
Molecule: ribosomal RNA, 1141 nt
Filed under: uncultured fungus
Lineage: Eukaryota; Fungi
Description: eukaryotic LSU rRNA
Rfam family: Eukaryotic large subunit ribosomal RNA (bases 508-1141)
Source: RNAcentral